Molecule: ribosomal RNA, 673 nt
Filed under: Gordonia sp. (in: high G+C Gram-positive bacteria)
Lineage: Bacteria; Bacillati; Actinomycetota; Actinomycetes; Mycobacteriales; Gordoniaceae
Description: bacterial SSU rRNA
Rfam family: Bacterial small subunit ribosomal RNA
Source: RNAcentral
AGCAGUGGGGAAUAUUGCACAAUGGGCGCAAGCCUGAUGCAGCGACGCCGCGUGAGGGAUGACGGCCUUCGGGUUGUAAACCUCUUUCACCAGGGACGAAGCGKRAGUGACGGUACCUGGAGAAGAAGCACCGGCCAACUACGUGCCAGCAGCCGCGGUAAUACGUAGGGUGCGAGCGUUGUCCGGAAUUACUGGGCGUAAAGAGCUCGUAGGCGGUUUGUCGCGUCGUCUGUGAAAUUCUGCAACUCAAUUGCAGGCGUGCAGGCGAUACGGGCAGACUUGAGUACUACAGGGGAGACUGGAAUUCCUGGUGUAGCGGUGAAAUGCGCAGAUAUCAGGAGGAACACCGGUGGCGAAGGCGGGUCUCUGGGUAGUAACUGACGCUGAGGAGCGAAAGCGUGGGUAGCGAACAGGAUUAGAUACCCUGGUAGUCCACGCCGUAAACGGUGGGUACUAGGUGUGGGUUCCUUUUCACGGGAUCCGUGCCGUAGCUAACGCAUUAAGUACCCCGCCUGGGGAGUACGGCCGCAAGGCUAAAACUCAAAGGAAUUGACGGGGGCCCGCACAAGCGGCGGAGCAUGUGGAUUAAUUCGAUGCAACGCGAAGAACCUUACCUGGGUUUGACAUACACCAGACGCGGCUAGAGAUAGUCGUUCCCUUGUGGUUGGUGUAC